UACGUAGGGGGCUAGCGUUGUCCGGAAUCAUUGGGCGUAAAGCGCGUGUAGGCGGUUCGGUAAGUCCGCUGUGAAAGUCGGGGGCUCAACCCUCGGAUGCCGGUAUACUGUCGGACUAGAGUACGGAAGAGGCGAGUGGAAUUCCUGGUGUAGCGGUGAAAUGCGCAGAUAUCAGGAGGAACACCGAUUGCGAAGGCAGCUCGCUGGGACGUUACUGACGCUGAGACGCGAAAGCGUGGGGAGCAAACAGG
Molecule: ribosomal RNA, 251 nt
Filed under: uncultured bacterium
Lineage: Bacteria
Description: partial 16S ribosomal RNA
Rfam family: Bacterial small subunit ribosomal RNA
Source: RNAcentral